UACAGAGGAGCCAAGCGUUGUCCGGAUUGACUGGGCGUAAAGCGCACGCAGGCGGUUGCGCGCGGGGGGUGUGAAAUCUGGCCGCUUAACGGCCAGGCGCCAUCCCAUACGGCGCGACUGGAGUGAUGCAGAGGUCGAUGGAAUUGCCGGUGUAGUGGUGAAAUGCGUAGAGAUCGGCAGGAACACCCAGGGGGAAACCAGUCGACUGGGCAUCUACUGACGCUGAGGUGCGAGAGCGUGGGGAGCGAGCCGG
Molecule: ribosomal RNA, 253 nt
Filed under: uncultured bacterium
Lineage: Bacteria
Description: partial 16S ribosomal RNA
Rfam family: Bacterial small subunit ribosomal RNA
Source: RNAcentral